CAGUAGCCGCGGGAAAACGGAGGGGGCUAGCGUUGUUCGGAAUUACUGGGCGUAAAGCGCACGUAGGCGGCUUGGUAAGUUAGAGGUGAAAGCCUGGAGCUCAACUCCAGAAUUGCCUUUAAGACUGCCUCGCUCGAACGUCGGAGAGGUGAGUGGAAUUCCGAGUGUAGAGGUGAAAUUCGUAGAUAUUCGGAAGAACACCAGUGGCGAAGGCAGCCCCCUGGGCCAAUACUGACGCUCAUGCACGAAAGCGUGGGGAGCAAACAGGAUUAGAUACCCCGUAGUCCCUGUCUCUUAUACA
This 301-nucleotide ribosomal RNA is filed under the name uncultured bacterium. RNAcentral describes it as "partial 16S ribosomal RNA". It matches the Rfam family "Bacterial small subunit ribosomal RNA", at positions 509 to 808 of the family's 1533-position model. The record is from RNAcentral.